This 406-nucleotide ribosomal RNA is filed under the name uncultured bacterium. RNAcentral describes it as "partial 16S ribosomal RNA". It matches the Rfam family "Bacterial small subunit ribosomal RNA", at positions 30 to 526 of the family's 1533-position model. The record is from RNAcentral.
AUUGAACGCUGGCGGCAGGCCUAACACAUGCAAGUCGAACGAGUGGCGGACGGGUGAGUAAUGUCUGGGAACCUGCCAGAUGGCGGGGGAUAAUUCCUGGAAACGGUAGCUAAUACCGCAAACCAUCGGAUGUUCCCAGAUGGGAUUAGCUAGUAGGUGGGGUAACGGCUCACCUAGGCCACGAUCCCUAGCUGGUCUGAGAGGAUGACCGGCCACACUGGAACUGAGACACGGUCCAGACUCCUACGGGAGGCAGCAGUGGGGAAUAUUGCGCAAUGGGCGCAAGCCUGAUGCAGCCAUGCCGCGUGUAUGAAGAAGGCCUUCGGGUUGUAAAGUACUUUCAUCGAGGAGGCGUUACUCGCAGAAGAAGCACCGGCUAACUCCGUGCCAGCAGCCGCGGUAAUUC